GUCUGCGUUCGGUGUCCAGGCAGGUGCGGGUGCCGCGGGGCCGGAUCCUCCGCGCAGCCGAGUCCAUCUCCUGGGAAAUGGGGUGGACUGUGUUUCCUUGACCGACUAUUGUGAACUCCCUGUCUCUCCGGCGGAGCGGAGACCAUGGCCCCCACUCAGGGCCCGCGGGCCCCGCUGGAAUUCGGAGGGCCCCUGGGCGCCGCGGCUCUGCUGCUGCUGCUGCCCGCCACCAUGUUCCACCUGCUCCUGGCGGCCCGUUCGGGCCCCGCGCGCCUGCUGGGUCCACCCGCGUACCUGCCUGGACUGGAGGCGCUGUGGAGCCCACGGGCGCUGCUGCUGUGGCUCGCCUGGCUCGGCCUGCAGGCGGCGCUCUACCUACUGCCGGCGCGCAAGGUGGCCGAGGGGCAGGAAUUGAAGGACGAGAGUCGCCUGCGCUAUCCUAUUAACGGUGCCUAGGGGACGGGCCCUCGCGCUGGAGUUUAGCGGCCGGGGGUGGAGCUCCAGGCCUUGCGGGGAGGUCCACGGAGAUUGGCCUCCACCCCAGGCUCCUUUGUGUGCCUCUGUUACGCCCAGGACAGACGCCGGGGGCUCUCCCUAAGCCCCUCGUCCCCACACCCUUACCCCAUUUACUGCUACUCUGUGCACCACAGCAGUGGCUGGGGUGAUCCUCUGAAGGCCAGGGUGGCAGCCUAAUGCUUGGGGCAGGGUCUGUGGCCCCCCUGAGUUUUGGGCUCUGUGUGUGUUUGCGGGGUGGGGAUGUGGAGGCGCGCAGCCCCAGGGCUCACUGUGCGCUGUGGUUCAGGCUUCCAGGCCCUGGUGCUGACAGCCCUGUUGGUGGGGCUGGGGAUGUCAGCGGGGCUGCCUCUGGGGGCGCUCCCGGAAAUGCUCCUGCCCUUGGCGUUUGUCGCCACCCUCACCGCUUUCAUCUUCAGCCUCUUUCUCUACAUGAAGGCGCAGGUAGCCCCAGUUUCGGCCCUGGCACCUGGGGGCAACUCAGGUGAGAGGGGUCCCGGGGUGGAGAUGGAGGCAGAUCGGGGAGUCUGCCUGUACAUUCACUCUCCAAUAUUCUCCAGGCAAUCCGAUUUACGACUUUUUUCUGGGACGGGAGCUCAACCCUCGUAUCUGUUUCUUCGACUUCAAAUAUUUCUGUGAACUGCGACCUGGCCUCAUCGGCUGGGUCCUCAUCAACAUGGCCCUGUUGAUGAAGGAGGCAGAGCUUCGGGGCAGUCCCUCACUGGCCAUGUGGCUGGUCAAUGGCUUCCAGUUACUCUACGUGGGUGAUGCCCUCUGGCAUGAGGUGAGGCUGGACUGGACGAGAGUGGGUGUCUGAGGGCUGCAUGGGGACUAAGCCAGUGCGUCUGGGUCUUGUCCCUGCAGGAGGCCAUCCUCACCACCAUGGAUAUCACACAUGACGGGUUUGGCUUCAUGCUGGCGUUUGGGGACAUAGCCUGGGUGCCCUUCACCUACAGCCUGCAGGCCCAGUUCCUGCUGCACCACCCGCAGUCCCUGGGAUUGCCCAUGGCCUCCGUCAUCUGCCUCAUCAAUGCUAUUGGUUACUACAUCUUCCGUGGGGCGAAUUCCCAGAAAAACACUUUCCGAAAGAAUCCUUCUGACCCCAGAGUG
Molecule: small RNA, 1623 nt
Filed under: Pongo abelii (Sumatran orangutan)
Lineage: Eukaryota; Metazoa; Chordata; Mammalia; Primates; Hominidae
Description: retained intron
Source: RNAcentral